Long non-coding RNA from Rosa chinensis, 610 nucleotides. RefSeq lists it as uncharacterized. The record is from RefSeq and is a predicted model, not a curated record. The transcript has 2 exons. Lineage: Eukaryota; Viridiplantae; Streptophyta; Magnoliopsida; Rosales; Rosaceae.
UAUUUGGUAGGUAUCUUAUGGGAAUGUGUAGAAGUAAUAAGAGUUCUCAUUAAUCACUUCCAUCCAUUGGUGUCUUUCAUCUUGUCUUGGUAUAAUUGAUUGACUUUGUGAUAUGUUUUUCAAGCUAUUCUGUUGGUAUGUCAAGGGAAUGUGAAGUUAACAUUGGGACAGGUUUGUUAUUUUAUCUCCAAAAAGCUUUAGGUUGUCAAACAACAACAAAAUUCCAAUUGGAUUACUUCAACGAUUCUAGUUCACUCAAAGACCACAAACCAAGCUUCGACGAUGUUCAGAGAAGCCAAGACGUCCUUAUGAGAAGGAACAUUGAGCUGAAGCUUGUUGGAGAAUAUGGGCUUCGGCACAAGAGGGACUUGUGGAGGGUCCAGUAUGCUUUGAGCCGCAUCCGUAAUGUUGCUAGGGAACUUCUUACUCUGGACAAGAAAAAUCCUCGCCGUAUCUUUAGACCCAGUUGUGGUUAUGUUUUAUUUUGUUUAAUGUGCUUAUGGGACGUUGUCCUAAUUGGAAAAAGUGUUGUGGUUGUACUUUGACUAAAAUCACUUGAAAUCUUCCUGGAAUCACAAUAAAAUAUUCUUACUAAUGUUUUGAGCAUACA